GAAUUGACGGGGCCCGCACAAGCGGUGGAGCAUGUGGUUUAAUUCGACGCAACGCGAAGAACCUUACCAGGGCUUGACAUCUUCUGACCGCUUAAGGAAACUUAAGCUUUCCGGAAGGUUUACUUUCUGGACAGAAAGACAGGUGGUGCAUGGUUGUCGUCAGCUCGUGUCGUGAGAUGUUGGGUUAAGUCCCGCAACGAGCGCAACCCCUACGGUUAGUUGCUAACGGGUAAGGCCGAGCACUUUAGCCGAACUGCCGUUGACAAAACGGAGGAAGCGGGGAUGACGUCAAAUCAUCAUGCCCUUUAUGUCCUGGGCUACACACGUGCUACAAUGGUCUGUACAAAGGGCAGCAAAGGGGCGACCCGGAGCAAAUCCCAAAAAACAGGUCUCAGUUCGGAUUGCAGGCUGCAACUCGCCUGCAUGAAGGCGGAAUCGCUAGUAAUCGCAGGUCAGCAUACUGCGGUGAAUACGUUCCCGGGCCUU
This 486-nucleotide ribosomal RNA is filed under the name uncultured Desulfotomaculum sp. Its description in RNAcentral is "bacterial SSU rRNA". It matches the Rfam family "Bacterial small subunit ribosomal RNA", at positions 907 to 1382 of the family's 1533-position model. Lineage: Bacteria; Bacillati; Bacillota; Clostridia; Eubacteriales; Desulfotomaculaceae. The record is from RNAcentral.